UGCCAGCCGCCGCGGUAAUACGUACCGGACAAACGUUAUUCGGAAUCACUGGGCUUAAAGAGUACGUAGGCUGCCUUGUAGGUGAGAUGUGAAAUCCCACGGCCUAACCGUGGAACUGCGUUUCAAACCACAAGGCUUGAGGGAGACAGGGGUGAGCGGAACUGAUGGUGGAGCGGUGAAAUGCGUUGAUAUCAUCAGGAACACCGGUGGCGAAGGCGGCUCACUGGGUCUCUUCUGACGCUGAGGUACGAAAGUGUGGGGAGCAAACAGGAUUAGAUA
This 279-nucleotide ribosomal RNA is filed under the name uncultured bacterium. Its description in RNAcentral is "partial 16S ribosomal RNA". It matches the Rfam family "Bacterial small subunit ribosomal RNA", at positions 506 to 784 of the family's 1533-position model. The record is from RNAcentral.